RNAcentral lists this ribosomal RNA (1553 nucleotides) under Klebsiella pneumoniae. RNAcentral describes it as "bacterial SSU rRNA". It matches the Rfam family "Bacterial small subunit ribosomal RNA". Lineage: Bacteria; Pseudomonadati; Pseudomonadota; Gammaproteobacteria; Enterobacterales; Enterobacteriaceae. The record is from RNAcentral.
ACUUAAAUUGAAGAGUUUGAUCAUGGCUCAGAUUGAACGCUGGCGGCAGGCCUAACACAUGCAAGUCGAGCGGUAGCACAGAGAGCUUGCUCUCGGGUGACGAGCGGCGGACGGGUGAGUAAUGUCUGGGAAACUGCCUGAUGGAGGGGGAUAACUACUGGAAACGGUAGCUAAUACCGCAUAAUGUCGCAAGACCAAAGUGGGGGACCUUCGGGCCUCAUGCCAUCAGAUGUGCCCAGAUGGGAUUAGCUUGUAGGUGGGGUAACGGCUCACCUAGGCGACGAUCCCUAGCUGGUCUGAGAGGAUGACCAGCCACACUGGAACUGAGACACGGUCCAGACUCCUACGGGAGGCAGCAGUGGGGAAUAUUGCACAAUGGGCGCAAGCCUGAUGCAGCCAUGCCGCGUGUGUGAAGAAGGCCUUCGGGUUGUAAAGCACUUUCAGCGGGGAGGAAGGCGGUGAGGUUAAUAACCUCAUCGAUUGACGUUACCCGCAGAAGAAGCACCGGCUAACUCCGUGCCAGCAGCCGCGGUAAUACGGAGGGUGCAAGCGUUAAUCGGAAUUACUGGGCGUAAAGCGCACGCAGGCGGUCUGUCAAGUCGGAUGUGAAAUCCCCGGGCUCAACCUGGGAACUGCAUUCGAAACUGGCAGGCUAGAGUCUUGUAGAGGGGGGUAGAAUUCCAGGUGUAGCGGUGAAAUGCGUAGAGAUCUGGAGGAAUACCGGUGGCGAAGGCGGCCCCCUGGACAAAGACUGACGCUCAGGUGCGAAAGCGUGGGGAGCAAACAGGAUUAGAUACCCUGGUAGUCCACGCCGUAAACGAUGUCGAUUUGGAGGUUGUGCCCUUGAGGCGUGGCUUCCGGAGCUAACGCGUUAAAUCGACCGCCUGGGGAGUACGGCCGCAAGGUUAAAACUCAAAUGAAUUGACGGGGCCCGCACAAGCGGUGGAGCAUGUGGUUUAAUUCGAUGCAACGCGAAGAACCUUACCUGGUCUUGACAUCCACAGAACUUAGCAGAGAUGCUUUGGUGCCUUCGGGAACUGUGAGACAGGUGCUGCAUGGCUGUCGUCAGCUCGUGUUGUGAAAUGUUGGGUUAAGUCCCGCAACGAGCGCAACCCUUAUCCUUUGUUGCCAGCGGUCCGGCCGGGAACUCAAAGGAGACUGCCAGUGAUAAACUGGAGGAAGGUGGGGAUGACGUCAAGUCAUCAUGGCCCUUACGACCAGGGCUACACACGUGCUACAAUGGCAUAUACAAAGAGAAGCGACCUCGCGAGAGCAAGCGGACCUCAUAAAGUAUGUCGUAGUCCGGAUUGGAGUCUGCAACUCGACUCCAUGAAGUCGGAAUCGCUAGUAAUCGUAGAUCAGAAUGCUACGGUGAAUACGUUCCCGGGCCUUGUACACACCGCCCGUCACACCAUGGGAGUGGGUUGCAAAAGAAGUAGGUAGCUUAACCUUCGGGAGGGCGCUUACCACUUUGUGAUUCAUGACUGGGGUGAAGUCGUAACAAGGUAACCGUAGGGGAACCUGCGGUUGGAUCACCUCCUUACCUUAAAGAA